UGUUCCUGUGUACAGUUUACUUGCAGUCAAGCUCCAGGGACUCACCUGAUCUCUGUGCACAAUAGCCAAGCAAACGAGGAUGUCUUUUCCCUGCUGGGAUCUGCCAGCUCAGCUCCACGGAUCUGGUUGGGUGGUUAUAGGGAUGGCCAGUCCAACAAGUUCAUCUGGAAAGAUGGUUCUGUUUGGGAUUACCAGAAUUGGGUUCCAGGUCAACCAAGCUACACCUCACACACUGAGAACUGUGUGGAGAUGAACUGGAAAA
This is a non-coding RNA of Paramormyrops kingsleyae, 262 nucleotides long. NCBI's taxonomy places the organism in Eukaryota, Metazoa, Chordata, Actinopteri, Osteoglossiformes, Mormyridae. The record is from RefSeq and is a predicted model, not a curated record.